AAAUAGGGAGCCAGAUCUGAGAGCAAAAUAUCCAUUAGAAUUUGUUCAUUGUGAUUUAGCUGGGCCAAUUGAGCCUACUGCUAAAGACGGCUUUAAAUAUGCUUUAUCAUUUGUUGACGAUUUUACAGGAAUAACAAUGAUUUAUUUCUUGAGAAGGAAAAGAAUCUUUGUUGGUUAUGACAAAGAAAGUCCGGCAUAUUUGAUUUAUUAUUCAGAAUCAAAUAAAGUAGAGAAAGCACGAUGUGUCAAAUUCCAUGAUAAAUUUCAGGCAGGAAAAAUAAAUGAUAUCGACGAUAUGAUUUCAGAUAGAAUACAAAAUGCAGAUAGUAUGAAUGAAACAGAAGAAAAGCCAAACAAUU
This is a long non-coding RNA of Xenia sp. Carnegie-2017, 359 nucleotides long. RefSeq lists it as uncharacterized. The record is from RefSeq and is a predicted model, not a curated record. Lineage: Eukaryota; Metazoa; Cnidaria; Anthozoa; Malacalcyonacea; Xeniidae. The transcript is spliced from 2 exons.